GGGCCCGCGUUCCAUUAGCUAGUUGGUAGGGUAAUGGCCUACCAAGGCAACGAUGAGUAGCUGGUCUGAGAGGAUGAUCAGCCACACUGGAACUGAAACACGGUCCAGACUCCUACGGGAGGCAGCAGUGGGGAAUAUUGCGCAAUGGGCGAAAGCCUGACGCAGCAACGCCGUGUGAGGGAUGAAGGCUUUCGGGUCGUAAACCUCUGUCGGAAGGGAAGAACGGGCAUUGGUCUAAUAGGCCUUUGUUUUGACGGUACCUUUAGAGGAAGCACCGGCUAACUCCGUGCCAGCAGCCGCGGUAAUACGGAGGGUGCAAGCGUUAUUCGGAAUUACUGGGCGUAAAGCGCACGUAGGCCGCUUUGUAAGUCAGGGGUGAAAUCCCACGGCUCAACCGUGGAACUGCCCUUGAAACUGCAGAGCUUGAAUCCUGGAGAGGGUGGCGGAAUUCCUGGUGUAGGAGUGAAAUCCGUAGAUAUCAGGAGGAACACCGGUGGCGA
Molecule: ribosomal RNA, 500 nt
Filed under: uncultured sulfate-reducing bacterium
Lineage: Bacteria
Description: bacterial SSU rRNA
Rfam family: Bacterial small subunit ribosomal RNA
Source: RNAcentral